GUCUGCACUUGUCGGUGAAGGGUGAGAACCUUCGAUUAAGGUUCGACUCGAGCGAAAGCAAGAGAACGUUGCC
RNAcentral lists this small RNA (73 nucleotides) under Salmonella enterica. RNAcentral describes it as "partial RtT sRNA". It matches the Rfam family "RtT RNA", at positions 1 to 72 of the family's 130-position model. From Rfam's summary of the family: This family represents a bacterial cis-regulatory element known as RtT RNA. The exact function of RtT is unknown although it is thought that it may be involved in changing the cellular response in relation to amino acid starvation. Lineage: Bacteria; Pseudomonadati; Pseudomonadota; Gammaproteobacteria; Enterobacterales; Enterobacteriaceae. The record is from RNAcentral.